GGUUUGGAAGGUUAUACCAUUAAGUUGCAAACUUAACACAGCGUAAGCCCAGGCUA
RNAcentral lists this transfer RNA (56 nucleotides) under Acanthogammarus victorii. Its description in RNAcentral is "tRNA-Cys". The record is from RNAcentral. Lineage: Eukaryota; Metazoa; Arthropoda; Malacostraca; Amphipoda; Acanthogammaridae.